GCUAAGGUAGCAUAAUCAUUUGUUUUUUAAUUGGGGACUGGAAUGAAAGGUUAAACUAAGUGAUUUAGUUUGUGGAUUUUUAAAGUAAAUUAAAGUCAAGGUAAGAAUUCUUUGAUAUUUUAGGGGACGAUAAGACCCUAGAAUCUUUAUAAAUUGGUUUAUAUUUUGUAAUUGGUCACAAUUUAUUUCGCUGGGGCGGCGUUAAAGGUUGAACCUUUACUAUAUUGGCAGAUCCUUUAGAUAAAGAUAAGACGGUAAAGUUACUCUAGGGUUAA
RNAcentral lists this ribosomal RNA (275 nucleotides) under Gammarus frater. Its description in RNAcentral is "partial 16S ribosomal RNA". The record is from RNAcentral. Lineage: Eukaryota; Metazoa; Arthropoda; Malacostraca; Amphipoda; Gammaridae.